UACAUGCAAGUCGAACGCGCAGCGAAAGGUGCUUGCACCUUUCAAGCGAGUGGCGAACGGGUGAGUAACACGUGGAUAACCUGCCUCAAGGCUGGGGAUAACAUUUGGAAACAGAUGCUAAUACCGAAUAAAACUUAGUAUCGCAUGAUACAAAGUUGAAAGGCGCUACGGCGUCACCUAGAGAUGGAUCCGCGGUGCAUUAGUUAGUUGGUGGGGUAAAGGCCUACCAAGACAAUGAUGCAUAGCCGAGUUGAGAGACUGAUCGGCCACAUUGGGACUGAGACACGGCCCAAACUCCUACGGGAGGCAGCAGUAGGGAAUCUUCGGCAAUGGACGAAAGUCUGACCGAGCAACGCCGCGUGAGUGAAGAAGGUUUUCGGAUCGUAAAACUCUGUUGGUAGAGAAGAACGUUGGUGAGAGUGGAAAGCUCAUCAAGUGACGGUAACUACCCAGAAAGGGACGGCUAACUAC
RNAcentral lists this ribosomal RNA (471 nucleotides) under uncultured bacterium. RNAcentral describes it as "bacterial SSU rRNA". It matches the Rfam family "Bacterial small subunit ribosomal RNA", at positions 52 to 504 of the family's 1533-position model. The record is from RNAcentral.